GAUGAACGCUGGCGGCGUGCCUAAUACAUGCAAGUCGAGCGAACGGACGAGAAGCUUGCUUCUCUGAUGUUAGCGGCGGACGGGUGAGUAACACGUGGAUAACCUACCUAUAAGACUGGGAUAACUUCGGGAAACCGGAGCUAAUACCGGAUAAUAUUUUGAACCGCAUGGUUCAAAAGUGAAAGACGGUCUUGCUGUCACUUAUAGAUGGAUCCGCGCUGCAUUAGCUAGUUGGUAAGGUAACGGCUUACCAAGGCAACGAUGCAUAGCCGACCUGAGAGGGUGAUCGGCCACACUGGAACUGAGACACGGUACAGACUCAUACGGGAGGCAGCAGUAGGGAAUCUUCCGCAAUGGGCGAAAGCCUGACGGAGCAACGCCGCGUGAGUGAUGAAGGUCUUCGGAUCGUAAAACUCUGUUAUUAGGGAAGAGCAUAUGUGUAAGUAACUGUGCACAUCUUGACGGUACCUAAUCAGAAAGCCACGGCUAACUACGUG
This 497-nucleotide ribosomal RNA is filed under the name uncultured bacterium. RNAcentral describes it as "partial 16S ribosomal RNA". It matches the Rfam family "Bacterial small subunit ribosomal RNA", at positions 28 to 507 of the family's 1533-position model. The record is from RNAcentral.